Molecule: transfer RNA, 72 nt
Filed under: Camelus bactrianus (Bactrian camel)
Lineage: Eukaryota; Metazoa; Chordata; Mammalia; Artiodactyla; Camelidae
Also listed under: 2 other names
Rfam family: tRNA
About the family: Transfer RNA (tRNA) molecules are approximately 80 nucleotides in length. Their secondary structure includes four short double-helical elements and three loops (D, anti-codon, and T loops).
Source: Rfam by way of RNAcentral
GGGGGUACAGCUCAGUGGUAGAGCUUAUGCUUGGUGUGCAUGAGGUCCUGGGUUCAAUCCCCAGUGUCUCCG